RNAcentral lists this ribosomal RNA (496 nucleotides) under uncultured bacterium. Its description in RNAcentral is "partial 16S ribosomal RNA". It matches the Rfam family "Bacterial small subunit ribosomal RNA", at positions 29 to 507 of the family's 1533-position model. The record is from RNAcentral.
AUGCACGCUGGCGGCGUGCCUAAUACAUGCAAGUCGAGCGAACAGACGAGGAGCUUGCUCCUCUGACGUUAGCGGCGGACGGGUGAGUAACACGUGGAUAACCUACCUAUAAGACUGGGAUAACUUCGGGAAACCGGAGCUAAUACCGGAUAAUAUAUUGAACCGCAUGGUUCAAUAGUGAAAUACGGUUUUGCUGUCACUUAUAGAUGGAUCCGCGCCGCAUUAGCUAGUUGGUAAGGUAACGGCUUACCAAGGCAACGAUGCGUAGCCGACCUGAGAGGGUGAUCGGCCAAACUGGAACUGAGACACGGUCCAGACUCCUACGGGAGGCAGCAGUAGGGAAUCUUCCGCAAUGGGCGAAAGCCUGACGGAGCAACGCCGCGUGAGUGAUGAAGGUCUUCGGAUCGUAAAACUCUGUUAUUAGGGAAGAACAAAUGUGUAAGUAACUAUGCACGUCUUGACGGUACCUAAUCAGAAAGCCACGGCUAACUACGUG